GACGAAGGAUGCAAGCGUUAUCCGGAUUCAUUGGGCGUAAAGGGUGCGUAGGUGGCGCCGUAAGUCAGGUGUGAAAUUUCGGAGCUUAACUCCGAAACUGCAUUUGAUACUGCGGUGCUUGAGGACUGGAGAGGAGACUGGAAUUUACGGUGUAGCAGUGAAAUGCGUAGAGAUCGUAAGGAAGACCAGUGGCGAAGGCGGGUCUCUGGACAGUUCCUGACACUGAGGCACGAAGGCCAGGGGAGCAAACGGG
This 253-nucleotide ribosomal RNA is filed under the name uncultured bacterium. RNAcentral's name for it is "partial 16S ribosomal RNA". It matches the Rfam family "Bacterial small subunit ribosomal RNA", at positions 524 to 776 of the family's 1533-position model. The record is from RNAcentral.